ACCUUAACUUCCCUGAGCUCUAUUUUCUCCAUUUCAGAUCAGCAUCCCCAGAACACACUUGUAUUAAGUCAAAGACCUUGGACCCAAUGGUCAUCUUCUUCACCAGUGGGACCACAGGCUUCCCCAAGAUGGCAAAACACUCCCAUGGGUUGGCCUUACAGCCCUCCUUCCCAGGAAGGAGGAAAUUAUGGAGCCUAAAGACAUCCGAUGUCUGCUGGUGCCUGUCGGACUCAGGAUGGAUCGUGGCUACCAUUUGGACCCUGGUAGAACCAUGGACAGCGGGAUGUACAGUCUUUAUCCACCAUCUGCCACAGUUUGACACCAAGGUCAUUGUACAGACAUUGUUGAAAUACCCCAUCAACCACUUUUGGGGGGUAUCAUCUAUAUUUCGAAUGAUUCUGCAGCAGGAUUUCACCAGUAUCAGGUUCCCUGCCCUGGAGCAUUGCUGUACUAGCGGGGAGGUCAUGUUUCCCAAGGAUCAGGAGGAGUGGAAAAGACGGACGGGCCUUCUGCUCUACGAGAACUAUGGGCAGUCGGAAACGGGACUAAUUUGUGCCACCUUCCCGGGAAUGAAGAUCAAGCCGGGUUUCAUGGGGAAGGCCACUCCACCCUACGACGUCCAGGUCUGGUCCUAAGGGCAUUGGCAGGGAGCAGUUAGGGCUCAGUGGGGGUUGGACAAUUUGACACCAGGUGACAACACCAGCCGCACUUCCCUGCUGCAGUCAUCCUUCCUCCUGUCUUCUCAUUUUUCCUUCAGUUUCGUAUGGAGGCCUCAGUUGAAAACUGCAUUAUUGUGGGCAUGAACACCGCUGACCCUGGCAGCCAGGGCAUCACACACAGUAUGUAGGAAAGAAUACCUAGAGGCUGCACUGGCAGCCCUCUCUAGCAAGUGGUGCUUUUCAUUUUUGUUGAUCAGUGUUUUCCAACUUGAAGACACAUUGGUGACAUCUACUAACUCAUGAAACAUAGACCCUUGGUUGAGUUUCACAUUUGCUUAUUUUAAAGGCUUUUGACAGUUUUAUUCCAUUUUCUGAUGUUUCCUCCGUUAUUUCAUCCACACUGGUGUCCCAUGCAUAAGCCAGACAGUGCUUGGGUGGGGCAGAAGGGCUGGGGCCUCCUGCAGUGUAUGAUUCACAGGCCUCUUGCUACAGGUCAUUGAUGACAAGGGCAGCAUCCUGCCACCCAACACAGAAGGAAACAUUGGCAUCAGAAUCAAGCCUGUCAGGCCUGUAAGCCUCUUCAAGUGCUAUGAGGGUGACCCAGAGAAGACAGCUGAAGUGGAAUGCGGGGACUUCUACAACACUGGGGACAGAGGUAUCGCAUCGGGCCUGCAGAGGUUGAAAGCGCUUUGGUGGAGCACCCAGCGGUGGCGGAGUCAGCCGUGGUGGGCAGCCCAGACCCGAUUCGAGGGGAG
Molecule: small RNA, 1414 nt
Filed under: Pongo abelii (Sumatran orangutan)
Lineage: Eukaryota; Metazoa; Chordata; Mammalia; Primates; Hominidae
Description: retained intron
Source: RNAcentral